Molecule: ribosomal RNA, 913 nt
Filed under: Griseoporia carbonaria
Lineage: Eukaryota; Fungi; Basidiomycota; Agaricomycetes; Gloeophyllales; Gloeophyllaceae
Description: LSU rRNA
Rfam family: Eukaryotic large subunit ribosomal RNA
Source: RNAcentral
GCAUAUCAAUAAGCGGAGGAAAAAGAAACUAACAAGGAUUCCCCUAGUAACUUGCGAAGUGAAGCGGGAAGAGCUCAAAUUUAAAAUCUGGCGGUCUCCGGCCGUCCGAGUUGUAUUCUGGAGAAGUGCUUUCCGCGCUGGACCGUGUAUAAGUCUCUUGGAACAGAGCGUCGUAGAGGGUGAGAAUCCCGUCUUUGACACGGACUACCAGUGCUUUGUGAUGCGCUCUCAAAGAGUCGAGUUGUUUGGGAAUGCAGCUCAAAAUGGGUGGUAAAUUCCAUCUAAAGCUAAAUAUUGGCGAGAGACCGAUAGCGAACAAGUACCGUGAGGGAAAGAUGAAAAGCACUUUGGAAAGAGAGUUAAACAGUACGUGAAAUUGUUGAAAGGGAAACGCUUGAAGUCAGUCGCGUUAGCCGGGACUCAGCCUUGCUUUUGCUUGGUGUACUUUCCGGUUGACGGGCCAGCAUCAAUUUUGACUGUCGGAUAAAGGCCAGUGGAAUGUGGCACCUUCGGGUGUGUUAUAGACACUGGUUGUAUACGAUGGUUGGGAUUGAGGACCGCAGCUUCGGCUUAGGAUGCUGGCGUAAUGGCUUUAAACGACCCGUCUUGAAACACGGACCAAGGAGUCUAACAUGCCUGCGAGUGUUUGGGUGGAAAACCCGAGCGCGUAAUGAAAGUGAAAGUUGAGACCUCUGUCGCGGAGGGCAUCGACGCCCGGACCUGAUCUUCGGUGACGGAUCUGCGGUAGAGCAUGUAUGUUGGGACCCGAAAGAUGGUGAACUAUGCCUGAAUAGGGUGAAGCCAGAGGAAACUCUGGUGGAGGCUCGUAGCGAUUCUGACGUGCAAAUCGAUCGUCAAAUUUGGGUAUAGGGGCGAAAGACUAAUCGAACCAUCUAGUAGCUGGGUUCCUGCG